Molecule: non-coding RNA, 24 nt
Filed under: Arabidopsis thaliana (thale cress)
Lineage: Eukaryota; Viridiplantae; Streptophyta; Magnoliopsida; Brassicales; Brassicaceae
Source: RNAcentral
ACUCAUUAGGGUUCAUGGGUUGAG